GAUGAACGCUGGCGGCGUGCUUAACACAUGCAAGUCGAACGAUGAAGCCCAGCUUGCUGGGUGGAUUAGUGGCGAACGGGUGAGUAACACGUGAGUAACCUGCCCUUAACUCUGGGAUAAGCCUGGGAAACUGGGUCUAAUACCGGAUAGGAGCGUCCACCGCAUGGUGGGUGUUGGAAAGAUUUAUCGGUUUUGGAUGGACUCGCGGCCUAUCAGCUUGUUGGUGAGGUAAUGGCUCACCAAGGCGACGACGGGUAGCCGGCCUGAGAGGGUGACCGGCCACACUGGGACUGAGACACGGCCCAGACUCCUACGGGAGGCAGCAGUGGGGAAUAUUGCACAAUGGGCGCAAGCCUGAUGCAGCGACGCCGCGUGAGGGAUGACGGCCUUCGGGUUGUAAACCUCGUUCAGUAGGGAAGAAGCGAAAGUGACGGUACCUGCAGAAGAAGCACCGGCUAACUACGUG
This 466-nucleotide ribosomal RNA is filed under the name uncultured bacterium. RNAcentral describes it as "partial 16S ribosomal RNA". It matches the Rfam family "Bacterial small subunit ribosomal RNA", at positions 28 to 507 of the family's 1533-position model. The record is from RNAcentral.